UCAGACGAUGCGUCAUGCAUAUCAAUAAGCGGAGGAAAAGAAACUAACAAGGAUUCCCUCAGUAACGGCGAGUGAAGCGGGAAGAGCUCAAAUUUGAAAUCUUGAAAGGUCACCUUUCACGAAUUGUAGUUUAAAGAAGUGUUUUCUGUUACGAUCGUAAUAUAAGUUCUUUGGAAUAGGACAUCACAGAGGGUGAGAAUCCCGUCUAUGAUUGCGAUUUGUAGCUUUGUGAUACACUUUCAAAGAGUCGGGUUGUUUGGGAAUGCAGCCCAAAACGGGAGGUAAAUUUCUUCUAAGGCUAAAUAUUGGCGAGAGACCGAUAGCGAACAAGUACCGUGAGGGAAAGAUGAAAAGAACUUUGAAAAGAGAGUUAAAUAGUACGUGAAAUUGUCAAAAGGGAAGCGUUUAACACCAGUGUUGUUUUCUGAAAAUCAACCUCUGUUAGCUUUAUGCAUGUUUGUUUAGACCUAAUCAGCUAUCUUGCAUGUUCUAUUGUUUGCAGUGGUGCACUUUUCAGUUUACAGGUCAACAUCAGUUUUUUUUACCGUAAAAAAGUUAAAGAAAGGUAGCUCAUGGCUCCGGUCGUGAGUGUUAUAGUCUUUUUCCUAUGCGGUAGGAGAGACUGAGGUCUGCAGUGUAGGCUAUUUGGCUAGAUACUCAGGUGCUAUGUGAUACCAUUUCAUAAACAACUUGUUGAUUAUGUUUUGUCUAUUGCAUACUCGCUUGUACUAUCAUACCUACGCUUAGGAUGUUGAUCUGUAGUGCGUGCGC
This 771-nucleotide ribosomal RNA is filed under the name uncultured Neocallimastigales. RNAcentral describes it as "partial large subunit ribosomal RNA". It matches the Rfam family "Eukaryotic large subunit ribosomal RNA", at positions 18 to 634 of the family's 3401-position model. The record is from RNAcentral. Lineage: Eukaryota; Fungi; Neocallimastigomycota; Neocallimastigomycetes; Neocallimastigales.